GCUAAUACCGGAUAAUAUAUUGUAACCGCAUGGUUCAAUAGUGAAAGACGGUUUUGCUGUCACUUAUAGAUGGAUCCGCGCCGCAUUAGCUAGUUGGUAAGGUAACGGCUUACCAAGGCAACGAUGCGUAGCCGACCUGAGAGGGUGAUCGGCCACACUGGAACUGAGACACGGUCCAGACUCCUACGGGAGGCAGCAGAG
This 201-nucleotide ribosomal RNA is filed under the name uncultured Staphylococcus sp. Its description in RNAcentral is "partial 16S ribosomal RNA". It matches the Rfam family "Bacterial small subunit ribosomal RNA", at positions 162 to 354 of the family's 1533-position model. Lineage: Bacteria; Bacillati; Bacillota; Bacilli; Caryophanales; Staphylococcaceae. The record is from RNAcentral.